CCUGCAGUGAAACACAAGGACUUGCUCACAUUUCUCAGCAGUGUCCUGCUAGGACAGCCUUUGGACAGUGCUGGCAAAACUGGAUGAAACCCCUUAGGACUUCCUGAUGGGAUGAAACCUUUUGUGUCUUCAUGACAUGCUUUAGUGCAAAGAAGGGAAAUGAUUCAAGCAAGUGUCUGGCCAGGGCAAACUUUCUAAUGGCUUCCUCAAGGUCUUAUUUUCUUUCUGGGCCUGCUCUGAAACUGUCAGGGAAGAGUUUCUUCCCUGAAAGAAGUGCUCAGCACUAGAGAUCCCAAAGGACAUUUACAGCGACUCAAUCCCAUUAGGAGGUGUUGAUGUGGUGUUUCACCAGGUAUGAAGGCAGGCUUAAGUCCAGGGUUUGAAAUGAACUAAUCAGCCUCAUUUAGUGGGCUGAUUCACAUCUAAUGUUGGAUACAGACUUUCCAGCUGGUUUUAUUGUCAGUAGUCUUAGCCUACUUUUUCUCAGCUUUCUGGAAAAGUUGGUCUCUGGUUCCAAGCCUUGCAGCUGGGGCUUAUUUCCACAUGGUCUAUAGAGUAAGUCAUCCUCCAGGAGCAUGUUCUGUGCCUGCUUGAGAGGGUAGGAGACUAAUAACAGGUGUAAGGCUUUCCACCUUAGAUAAAAUCUCAUCCCAGCUGGGAGGAUUUUACAGCCACAUGGAGGACUUACACUAAUGGAUUCAGGCAGGGAAAAGGAAGCUGCUGGUCAGCUUAUCUCACCAGCUGGUGACAAGCAGGAGGGCAGGUUAGAGGCAGUCGAACUCACCGCUGCAGCUGCUCAGCUUUUCGGUGUUGGCUCCUAUUUCUGGGAUGAUGGAAAGAUCAGAAGGGUUUCCCGUCUGAACCAAGAGGCUGUGAGGUCUGCUUCUUCCUGCAAAAAAUGUCUUCAUGUCUUGGUACGAGUUGAGGAACACGCUGGCAGCUCCGCAGGAGCAAUGCUGCAUGAGGUACUCCUACACCAGACAAGAAAGAAGAAAGCAUGCAGACUUUCAGGCUGCAGCAGCUCAAGGUAAUGGGCAAUGCAAUGGCUCAGACAAAUUGCAAGUAUCCCAGCUCAGCCUUGUCCCAAGACCCAGACAAGCAAUUUUACUCCCUAAAAAACUGAGCAGCCUGGAGGCAGUAAUGCAAGAGUUUUCAUGGGUUCGUUGGUGUUUGCCUUGAAUUGCCUGGUACUACUCGGCAUCUUUUGGGUUUGUUUCCCAGAAAAAGCUGAAGACAAGUUUCUGAACACAUAGCUGCUCAGCUGAGGCAAUUGUGUAAAUAAACAAAUCGAUUAUAACAGUGACUCACAUUUUAUGAUAAUGUUAUUUGAUUUGGAACACGCACAGACAACAGUAUCUUGUAUUUUUAUUGAUGGGAGGUCAUAGUUUGCUUAUGUGUUAUCAAACACUCACUGUAUGUGGUACUUUAGCUGGUGUACUUCUGUAGCUGAUGUGGUGGAAAGGGGAGAUUUUCAGAUUUGCAUGAUCAUGUUGUGCAAGAGUUUAGGAGGGCAGGAAGCAAAGAACAGCUUUGUACAGUCAAAGUGGAAAGAGAAUCACACUGUGUUGGAACUUGGACAAGCCAACACCAGUUUAGACCCACAAGUGAUUGACAGAUUUAAUGUAAUAUGUCAUUUGGAUAAGUUGCCACAGCAGCAUGGCACUUUGCA
Molecule: non-coding RNA, 1669 nt
Organism: Anas platyrhynchos (mallard)
Lineage: Eukaryota; Metazoa; Chordata; Aves; Anseriformes; Anatidae
Source: RefSeq, a predicted model, not a curated record